CCUACGGGAGGCAGCAGUGAGGAAUAUUGGUCAAUGGCCGGAAGGCUGAACCAGCCAAGUCGCGUGAGGGACGACUGCCCUAUGGGUUGUACACCUCUUUUAUAAGGGAAGAAUAAAUGCUACGUGUAGCAUGAUGCCUGUACCUUAUGAAUAAGCAUCGGCUAACUCCGUGUCAGCAGCCGCGGUAAUACGGAGGAUGCGAGCGGUAUCCGGAUUUAUUGGGUUUAAAGGGUGCGUAGGCGGUGUUUUAAGUUAGUGUUUAAACGUCGGGGCUUCACCUUGAUUUGCCAUUAAUACUGUAAGACUCGAGUUCAGACGAGGUAGGCGGAAUAAGUUAAGUAGCGGUGAAAUGCUUAGAUAUAACUUAGAACUCCGAUAGCGAAGGCAGCUUACCAGACUGCGACUGACGCUGAAGCACGAGAGCGUGGGUAGCGAACAGGAUUAGAUACCCGGGUAGUC
Molecule: ribosomal RNA, 459 nt
Filed under: uncultured bacterium
Lineage: Bacteria
Description: partial 16S ribosomal RNA
Rfam family: Bacterial small subunit ribosomal RNA
Source: RNAcentral